Molecule: ribosomal RNA, 301 nt
Filed under: uncultured bacterium
Lineage: Bacteria
Description: partial 16S ribosomal RNA
Rfam family: Bacterial small subunit ribosomal RNA
Source: RNAcentral
CAGUAGCCGCGGUAAUACGUAGGUGGCAGGCGUUGUCCGGAAUUAUUGGGCGUAAAGGGCUCGCAGGCGGUUUCUUAAGUCUGAUGUGAAAGCCCCCGGCUCAACCGGGGAGGGUCAUUGGAAACUGGGAAACUUGAGUGCAGAAGAGGAGAGUGGAAUUCCACGUGUAGCGGUGAAAUGCGUAGAGAUGUGGAGGAACACCAGUGGCGAAGGCGACUCUCUGGUCUGUAACUGACGCUGAGGAGCGAAAGCGUGGGGAGCGAACAGGAUUAGAUACCCCCGUAGUCCCUGUCUCUUAUAC